Long non-coding RNA from Manis pentadactyla (Chinese pangolin), 1869 nucleotides. RefSeq lists it as uncharacterized. The transcript is spliced from 3 exons. Lineage: Eukaryota; Metazoa; Chordata; Mammalia; Pholidota; Manidae. The record is from RefSeq and is a predicted model, not a curated record.
UCCAAGCACUUGGCAUUGAUCAGCAAUCUUAGCAGUUCUGUGAGAACAGAGGUUACAGCUGUCACAGGAAGUCGAAACCAAGGCUGCCGGAAUCACACCCCUUCCGAGGUAGGUGAAAGUGUACACUGAGCAGAAUUCAGGCCCGGGAGGUGGGGGUGGCAGAGCUGGCAGGUGGAGAAGGGCGGGAUGCUGUACAAGAGAAAAUACCCACAGGGAAGAAGAGUGGAUGUAUCCCUGGAACUCAGGGUUGAUUUAGAGACCUGCAGGGGCUUAUCGCUAAACCGCUGCAUCAGUUACACCCAGCUAGGUAUCAUGAGGGACCCAAAGAAGCUUCAUUUGGAGUCCCUGUCCUUAACAACCUUAUAGUCCAUCUGGCUUCACAAGAUACACACCAAAGAAAAGGCAGAAAAGACGAGAGGGCGAAUUUGAGGGAAAGAUCAAAGCUGGCACCACCCAGCUGACUUUUCAGACCUGGAAGGAUCUCUUCUACUCAGCUGGGAUUACUUGGAUGGACGUCAUUUUUGCCCAAGCAUUUCUUCUUUGCUACCACCUUUUGAUCCCUUGCUAUGUGCCAAGCACUGUACUAACUGUAUUAUCUCAUUCCCUCCCCUUGGCAACUCUGAGACAUUACAGUCUCAGAGAGGAUAAGCAAUUUCCCAAGAUCGCACAUUAUAUAUGGCAGAAGGGGGAUAGGAAAUUCUCCCAGGUCCCGUGUUUUUAGAUUCUUCUUAAAUAAAAAAGUUUUAAAAAUUAACUAUUUGCUCACUGUUGUUAAUCUUGCACAGAUCCUUUUGAAGAAAAUGGUAAUUGAGAACAAACACGCCCAACAUCACCAUGCUUUUUUUUACUCAGUGGGAAGGAGUGAACAGGGCCCUGGUGUAUUGCUGGUGAGAGUGUAAAUAAGGUGACACUUUUCUGGAAAGCAGUCUGGCCAUUUGAAUCAAGAGCUUUAAAAAUUGUCUCUACCCUUUAAUGAGGAAAUGGGCACCCUCUAGGGAGAUAGCGAUAGCUAGCAACAUAAAAUGUAAAAGCUGUCUAUGUGAAAGACCCAUUCCCUGUGACCCAGCAGUUCCACUUAAAGAAAACUGUUGUACAAUGGAUGUAAUAGCACAUAGUCAAAAAGGUGUAUUUGUAAGGGCGUUCAUUACUGCAUUGCUCCUAUAGCAAAAGAUGGGGAAGAGCUUAAAAAGUAUCAAUAGAAUUGAUGAGUUUAAUUAUAUGCAAUGUUUUAGAAAACGAGGCAGUUCCUGUUUUAUAUAUAGAACAAUCAUCAAGAAAUAUUAAGAGAGAAAACUGCAAAAGUAUGUAUCUGUUGUGCUACUAUUUCUGUAUGUAUAAGAAAUAUAUGUGUGUGUGUGUUUUUCUAUGAAAGAUAUACAAGAAACCAGGUAAUAAUAAUGUUGCCUUUGAGAAGGAAAACCACAGCUGAGGGACCACGUCGGAGAAAGACAUUUGUUUCAUUGUGUAACCUUCAGUACCUCAUAUGUACACAUUAGCACCAUGUGUACAUAUAAGCAAUUCAAAAUUCAACUUUAAAAAAUAAAUUCACUAAAAUCCUACCUCUAGAUCCAGUAAUUCUCCUUUCAAGAAUCUAGCUGAAGGAACUGUUGGAUUUCAUACAAGGAUUUAUACAAAAGCAUAUUCACUGAGGUGUUAUCAUAGUGAAAAAAAAUGAAGGCAACUCAAAAGUCCAACAACAGAGGAAUAGCUAAGAAAAUUAUGGUAUGUACACAUACCACUGAUCACAAAAUCAUAAAAAGAAUGUUACAAAAAUAUUUUGGUGAAACAGGAAAAUGCUUAUAACUGUAAGUAGAAACAAAACACAAAGAAAUAGAAUAUUAUCUAUGCAGUAUGAUCUGAUCACCCUAA